Molecule: ribosomal RNA, 423 nt
Filed under: uncultured bacterium
Lineage: Bacteria
Description: bacterial SSU rRNA
Rfam family: Bacterial small subunit ribosomal RNA
Source: RNAcentral
GGAAUUGUUCGCAAUGGGCGAAAGCCUGACGACGCAACGCCGCGUGGAGGAUGAAGGCCUUCGGGUCGUAAACUCCUUUCGAUCGAGAAGAAUUCCCUUGGGACUAAUAAUUCCGAGGGUUGCCGGUACCGAGAGACGAAGCCCCGGCUAACUCCGUGCCAGCAGCCGCGGUAAUACGGGGGGGGCAAGCGUUGUUGGGAAUUACUGGGCGGAAAGGGCUCGUAGGCGGCCAACUAAGGCGGACGUGAAAUCCCUCGGCUCAACCGAGGAACUGCGUCCGAUACUGGAUGGCUUGAGUCCGGGAGAGGGAUGCGGAAUUCCAGGUGUAGCGGUGAAAUGCGUAGAUAUCUGGAGGAACACCGGUGGCGAAGGCGGCAUCCUGGACCGGCACUGACGCUGAGGAGCGAAAGCCAGGGGAGCAAA